UUUAAAAAAUAAAUAAAUAACUCGUAACCGCUUGGAACUGUCAGAACCGCGGUUCCGAAACCGCCAAAAUCGGAAUCAAGCGAUUCCGAAACCGUAUGGUAGCAGUUCCGGCUCCAGAACCGCCAAAACCAAAACCGAAAUCGCCAGAACCGAAACCGGAUACAACCUUAGUCGAAGUUACUUCUAAAAAAAAUAGGUCACAGCAGAGUGAAAAAGCGCACAAAAAAAAAAUUUGCGUCAAUUCUUUUAAAUCGUCAAAAAUAGA
This 265-nucleotide long non-coding RNA is filed under the name Nicotiana benthamiana. RNAcentral's name for it is "long non-coding RNA (NBEN_LNC006284)". Lineage: Eukaryota; Viridiplantae; Streptophyta; Magnoliopsida; Solanales; Solanaceae. The record is from RNAcentral.